UACGUAGGGUGCGAGCGUUAAUCGGAAUUACUGGGCGUAAAGUGUGCGCAGGCGGCCGCGCAAGUCGAGUGUGAAAUCCCCGAGCUUAACUUGGGAAUUGCGCUCGAAACUACGUGGCUGGAGUGUGGCAGAGGAAGGUGGAAUUCCACGUGUAGCGGUGAAAUGCGUAGAUAUGUGGAGGAACACCGGUGGCGAAGGCGGAUCUCUGGGCCUUACCUGACGCUGAGGCGCGAAAGCUAGGGGAGCAAACAGG
This 253-nucleotide ribosomal RNA is filed under the name uncultured bacterium. Its description in RNAcentral is "partial 16S ribosomal RNA". It matches the Rfam family "Bacterial small subunit ribosomal RNA", at positions 524 to 776 of the family's 1533-position model. The record is from RNAcentral.